Molecule: unclassified non-coding RNA, 417 nt
Filed under: uncultured fungus
Lineage: Eukaryota; Fungi
Description: partial contains small subunit ribosomal RNA, internal transcribed spacer 1, and 5.8S ribosomal RNA
Rfam family: Eukaryotic small subunit ribosomal RNA (bases 1-73)
Source: RNAcentral
UCAAACUUGGUCAUUUAGAGGAAGUAAAAGUCGUAACAAGGUUUCCGUAGGUGAACCUGCGGAAGGAUCAUUAUUGAAUAAACUGCCUUGAUGGGUUGUAGCUGGCCUCUUGAGGCAUGUGCACGCCUGUCUUGACUCUAUUCAUCCACCUGUGCACCUAUUGUAGUCUCCUACUCUUUGACGGUCAAGAAAAUUAGGCUUUUUUCAGUUGAAACACCACUGGAUUUGAGGACUGCCAAGCGGCUUUUCUCUCCCUGGCCUUAUGAAAUUGAUUCUUGUCAAGGAAAGGAGGCUAUGUCUUUUAUCAUAAACUAAGUAUGUUGCCAGAAUGUAUUCAUAUGGGCCUUUGUGCCUUUAAAACUUUAUACAACUUUCAGCAACGGAUCUCUUGGCUCUCGCAUCGAUGAAGAACGCAGC